GCUCGUGUGGUGAAAUUGGUAGACGCGAUAGACUCAAAAUCUAUUAUCAAUGAGAUGUGCCGGUUCGAGUCCGGCCACGAGCACCA
This 86-nucleotide transfer RNA is filed under the name Mycoplasmatota bacterium. RNAcentral's name for it is "Tenericutes bacterium (anaerobic digester metagenome) tRNA-Leu". It matches the Rfam family "tRNA". Rfam says of the family: Transfer RNA (tRNA) molecules are approximately 80 nucleotides in length. Lineage: Bacteria; Bacillati; Mycoplasmatota. The record is from RNAcentral.